This 256-nucleotide ribosomal RNA is filed under the name uncultured bacterium. Its description in RNAcentral is "partial 16S ribosomal RNA". It matches the Rfam family "Bacterial small subunit ribosomal RNA", at positions 524 to 777 of the family's 1533-position model. The record is from RNAcentral.
UACAGAGGGGGGCAAGCGUUGUUCGGAAUUACUGGGCGUAAAGGGCGCGUAGGCGGCCUUUCUAAGUCGAACGUGAAAUCCCCGGGCUCAACCCGGGAACUGCGUCCGAUACUGGAAGGCUUGAAUCCGGGAGAGGGAUGCGGAAUUCCAGGUGUAGCGGUGAAAUGCGUAGAUAUCUGGAGGAACACCGGUGGCGAAGGCGACCACCUGGCCCAACACUGACGCUGAGGUGCGAAAGCGUGGGUAGCAAACAGGA